AUAAAAAUCCUACAUACAUUAGCAACUGGAACAACAUGCAUAUGCAGAAGAAUAAGGGCAUUUCGAUCAAUGAGGCUGCUUAAAUUAAAGAGGUAAGGGGCAGUUCCUGUUUUCACAAAAUGGUUGCUAGCCAUGUCCUGUUAUGUAUAGACCUAGCCGUGUUGCAUAACCUAGUUCAAACUAGCACCAUUGUUGAGCCAUUAAAUGUAGUCUGUUUUUCAGAGCCAAAAUCUCUCUCUUUUCUUCUUUUUCUUGUUUUACAUCUCAAAACUGCUCUAAAGGGUCCAGACCACUAUCUAAUGAAACUUUAAAAGAAUAAUUGCUAUAAUAUUGCUCGUUGCUUAUGUUUGCUUCUAGUCCAUAAAUGUAAUGAAUCAAGUCUAAUGAAAUUAAGUUUAAUCCUAUGAUUGUGUCACUGUUUUUUUUAAACCUUGCUUCUUGUACUGAACUAUGAAAUUUUUUUUAUAAUUUUUUUUUUCCAGAUUAGUGCUGAAGUCUAUUUUGGAUUUUAUUUUUGACAUACUUCCUUAACUUCGAAUGCCAUGAAAUUUUAAUGUGAUGAAGUUUUGUAUGUCUAGUUAUGAUCUGGAAAGUUCUGCACUAUUUUACCUCAAAAUGAGUUUUUAGUGAAUUUCCCAAUUUGAAGUGUUCCUGCCCAAAUUGUAUAACAAAAUAUAUAUUUGUUCAUCAAUGAGUUACUGAAAACUACUUCAUACCCUUUUUGGGUUUGUGGUUCUCUUUAUCUUAUAAUGUGUUUAGAACAAUAUAGGACUCAAACUUUACUGAGGUAAUAUAUUGUUUUUGCAUGUCAGAUUAUUUGAGGAGGUGGAAGGAUUUGGUUUGUGGUUUUGGACAGAGGACCAUUUGAGGUAAGAACCUCUUCUUCUCGUUACACUUAGUUCCAUUUGUUUUCUUAUUAACAGCUAUAGUGGUUGUCAAUGUCAUUGUAGUGUUGUUUGUUUAAAGUUAUUAAAAUGGCAUACAUGUUUUGUAUUGUGUUGAGAAGUUAUGCAACCCAUGUUGGUUAAUGAGUGGAUUAUACUUUGGAUUUUAUGAUUUAUUUUUUCUAAUGGGUUUGUGCUAUGCAUGAUAUUAGUCUUUACAUUUAUUAAUUUGUGGUAUUUGUUAUUAUCACAAAGGUAUGCUUUAGACAGUUAAUAUUGAGAGGUAUGAAAAAUGAAUUCAGAUUUUAUUAAGUUUGUUCAAAUACCAUUCUUGAAUAUUCUUAAAUAUUGAUGACCAGUAAUCAUUUUUCUUAUGUAGAUCCACUCUUUUUAAUGGCUUAUUUAGUUAAGAUUGUGAAUUUCAGCUUUUGGGCAAGAUUUCCUGUAAUUGUGUUGUAUAAAAUUGUUUGUUUUUGGUCUCUUAAGUAUAUUUUUAUAUUCAAAUUUUCUUGGUUUUGGCUUCUUCUUGACCAUUGGAAUUUCCUUGUUUUGUUUCUUUUGUAAAGGAAGAUGAUUGAUGAGUUUGAGAAGAUCAAGCAACAAUUGGUAUCGUUUGGGAAUUCCACAAUAUUAGAUCACAGUCCCUAUCCCACAGGUGUUAAAGAUCACGACUACCAAACUCAGAAUUACAAAAGGCAUAGUAUACAUGCAUAUUUUUUUU
This 1605-nucleotide long non-coding RNA is filed under the name Prunus dulcis (almond). Its description in RNAcentral is "sRNA ncRNA". Lineage: Eukaryota; Viridiplantae; Streptophyta; Magnoliopsida; Rosales; Rosaceae. The record is from RNAcentral.